AUUGUUUCGAACGACAGCUUUUUUCUUUGCAGAAGAGUUGACGGAUCGGUAGUGAGGGUCUUUGCCAUUUACCGUGGCUCCCUCGAAAUACAUUAGCGCAUCCAUUUGAUAGGCAAGACGGACGAAAGCUCGAUUUUUCGCCCCCUCUUCCCUGCCGGGUUUUGAUAAUAUCAGGACUUCGGAGAGCGGAGAGAAGGGUGUGAGCUGGACGCGACGUUUUGCUGGUUGGAGUGCUUCUGAACCCCGCCCAUGCCUUUCGCAAGAAAGGAAGGGAUUUUUUCAAUU
RNAcentral lists this unclassified non-coding RNA (285 nucleotides) under Dirkmeia churashimaensis. Its description in RNAcentral is "sequence contains ITS2". The record is from RNAcentral. Lineage: Eukaryota; Fungi; Basidiomycota; Ustilaginomycetes; Ustilaginales; Ustilaginaceae.